RNAcentral lists this transfer RNA (81 nucleotides) under Tsukamurella paurometabola. RNAcentral's name for it is "tRNA-Ser". Lineage: Bacteria; Bacillati; Actinomycetota; Actinomycetes; Mycobacteriales; Tsukamurellaceae. The record is from RNAcentral.
GGCGACCUGGUGGAACCUUCGAUGCACUCGCCUUGAAAGCGAGCGUGGGUGAAACCACCGGGGGUUCAAAUCCCUCCGCUU